UAGUCAUACGCUCGUCUCAAAGGACUAAGCCAUGCAAGUGUAAGUAUAAAUCCUUUACUUUGAAACUGCGAGUGGCUCAUUAUAUCAGUUAUCGUUUAUUUGAUAGUCCCUUACUACUUGGAUAACCGUAGUAAUUCUAGAGCUAAUACAUGCGUCAAUACCCUUCUGGGGUAGUAUUUAUUAGAUGGAAACCAACCCAAAAAGGGUGAUGUGGUGAUUCAUAAUAAGCUUGCGGAUCGCCAGUGGCGAUGGAUCAUUCAGGUUUCUGCCCUAUCAGCUUUGGACGGUACGGUAUUGGCGUACCGUGGCUUUAACGGGUAACGGGGAAUUAGGGUUCGAUUCCGGAGAGGGGGCCUGAGAGAUGGCCACCACAUCCAAGGAAGGCAGCAGGCGCGUAAAUUACCCAAUCUUGACACAAGGAGGUAGUGACAAUAGAUAACAAUGCCGGGCCUUUAUAGGUCUGGCAAUUGGAAUGAGAACAAUUUAAAUCCCUUAUCGAGGAUCAAUUA
Molecule: ribosomal RNA, 509 nt
Filed under: uncultured microeukaryote
Lineage: Eukaryota
Description: SSU rRNA
Rfam family: Eukaryotic small subunit ribosomal RNA
Source: RNAcentral